GAUGAACGCUGGCGGCGUGCUUAACACAUGCAAGUCGAACGGAAAGGCCCAAGCUUGCUUGUGUACUCGAGUGUUGCACGGGUGAGUAUCACGUGGGUGAUCUGUCCUGCACUUCGGGAUAAGCCUGGGAAACUGGGUCUCAUACCGGGUAUGACCUCAUUUUGUAUGGUGUGGUUGAAUGUUUUUCGGUGUUGGAUGAGCUCGCGGCCUAUCAGCUUUUUGGUGGGGUAAUGGUCUAGCAAGGGGUCGACGGGUCGCCGGUCAGAGAGGGUGUAAGGCCACAUUGGGACUGAGAUAAGGCCCAGACACCGACGGGAGGCAGCAGGGGGGAAUAUUGCACAAUGGGCGCAAGCCUGAUGCAGCGAGGCCGCGUGGGGGAUGACGGCCUUCGGGGUGUAAACUCCUUUCGCGAGGGACGAAGCGUUUUUGUGACGGUACCUGGAGAAGAAGCAACGGCUAACUACGUG
Molecule: ribosomal RNA, 467 nt
Filed under: uncultured bacterium
Lineage: Bacteria
Description: partial 16S ribosomal RNA
Rfam family: Bacterial small subunit ribosomal RNA
Source: RNAcentral